RNAcentral lists this ribosomal RNA (1192 nucleotides) under Shewanella sp. RNAcentral's name for it is "bacterial SSU rRNA". It matches the Rfam family "Bacterial small subunit ribosomal RNA", at positions 211 to 1397 of the family's 1533-position model. Lineage: Bacteria; Pseudomonadati; Pseudomonadota; Gammaproteobacteria; Alteromonadales; Shewanellaceae. The record is from RNAcentral.
CCUUCCGCGAUUGGAUGAACCUAGGUGGGAUUAGCUAGUUGGUGAGGUAAUGGCUCACCAAGGCGACGAUCCCUAGCUGUUCUGAGAGGAUGAUCAGCCCAACUGGGACUGAGACACGGCCAAGACUAAUACGGGAGGCAGCAGUGGGGAAUAUUGCACAAUGGGGGAAACCCUGAUGCAGCCAUGCCGCGUGUGUGAAGAAGGCCUUCGGGUUGUAAAGCACUUUCAGUAGGGAGGAAAGGUAGCAGCUUAAUACGCUAUUGCUGUGACGUUACCUACAGAAGAAGGACCGGCUAACUCCGUGCCAGCAGCCGCGGUAAUACGGAGGGUCCGAGCGUUAAUCGGAAUUACUGGGCGUAAAGCGUGCGCAGGCGGUUUGUUAAGCGAGAUGUGAAAGCCCCGGGCUCAACCUGGGAAUUGCAUUUCGAACUGGCGAACUAGAGUCUUGUAGAGGGGGGUAGAAUUCCAGGUGUAGCGGUGAAAUGCGUAGAGAUCUGCAGGAAUACCGGUGGCGAAGGCGGCCCCUGGACAAAGACUGACGCUCAGGCACGAAAGCGUGGGAGCAAACAGGAUUAGAUACCCUGGUAGUCCACGCCGUAAACGAUGUCUACUCGGAGUUUGGUGUCUUGAACACUGGGCUCUCAAGCUAACGCAUUAAGUAGACCGCCUGGGGAGUACGGCCGCAAGGUUAAAACUCAAAUGAAUUGACGGGGGCCCGCACAAGCGGUGGAGCAUGUGGUUUAAUUCGAUGCAACGCGAAGAACCUGACCUACUCUUGACAUCCACCGAAUUCGCUAGAGAUAGCUUAGUGCCUUCGGGAACCGUGAGACAGGUGCUGCAUGGCUGUCGUCAGCUCGUGUUGUGAAAUGUUGGGUUAAGUCCCGCAACGAGCGCAACCCCUAUCCUUAUUUGCCAGCACGUAAUGGUGGGAACUCUAGGGAGACAGCCGGUGAUAAACCGGAGGAAGGUGGGGACGACGUCAAGUCAUCAUGGCCCUUACGAGUAGGGCGACACACGUGCUACAAUGGCGAGUACAGAGGGUUGCAAAGCCGCGAGGUGGAGCUAAUCUCACAAAGCUCGUCGUAGUCCGGAUUGGAGUCUGCAACUCGACUCCAUGAAGUCGGAAUCGCUAGUAAUCGUGGAUCAGAAUGCCACGGUGAAUACGUUCCCGGGCCUCGUACACACCGCCCGU